CAGGGAGGAGCUGACCUUCCUCAAGAGAACCUGCUCUGCUGAGACGUGCCCCCGCCCCAUGCUGGUCAUCGAGCCCCAGAGGGCAGGGAGCCCCUGGUCAGAGCGAGCUUUGUUGGCCUUGCUGGAGUCCCCCCUUCCCCUCCCCGCAGAGCUGGCAGCGUUUAGAGCUGCCUGGCAGGGGCACCGUGGACCCUGGCGCAGGAGGGCAGCCGUGCUCACCUGCAGCCACCGUCCCCUGAAAAACAUCACUAUGGAGGAGCCGAGCGUUGCACCUUCUUGGGAGCAGAUUCCUGCCCAGGAGCCGCCUCGCCCAGCUCCGGGAUCCGCUCCAAGGAGGGAAGGGUCCACAUCCCGGGUUUCUGAGCCAACUGCUGGAGUCCAUUCAGCCCCAGAGCAGCCGUCUGGCCACGCGGGGACCCGUGCCUUCCAGCGGUGGCUGUGAAAUGAACAGCCCUCAGAGCACCGCACAUCCGCCCUCCGUCCCCGUGCCCCGGAGGGGCCACAAAGCAGGGCCACUCUCCAGGGGACAGUCCCUUGGCCUCCGCAGACACGGGAAAUGAGCAGCGGGAAGGACAGCCUGGAGCAGGGCCCAGGGAGCCAAGUGCCUGUGUGCAAACAAGCUCAGGACGCACGCCCCGCGGCACGGCCACUCCACCGCCGCCCCACCCAACCCGGCUGAUGCCCUCGACCCCUGGGACAUCCAGGGAACACCGUGUGCACACCCCCGUGGAGCCAGGGCCACAGAAUUGACGGCAGGGACAGCAGGGCCCUGGCUGUGCCCAGACCACAGAGCCCUGUGGUCCUGCUGCCAGGGGAACAGAUGCAGCCGGGCCUGGGCCAGGGGAGGGGCGCUUCCCGGGCUCCGACCCAGCCGUCGUCAGGACAGGUGGGCAGGAGGGCCAUCCGGGUGGUGCAGCAUCCUGCUCCCAGCUAUCCCCCGUGCCCACCUGAGCUCCUGCACUGCCCUGGCCCUCCACGUGCCACCUCUGCCCUGGCCUCAUCACCUUGCCACCCUGACCCAGGCGGCCACGUCCCCAGGCCCUGCUGGAGCCUGAGCUACCUCACUGGAGCCCUGCAGGACCCUGAAGCCUCCGCAGGGAGCUAGCAGCAUCCCGCGGGGUGCAGCCGGGAAGCCCCUUCGGGAAAGGUGGGUGGCAGUGGCCAGACCCCCGCCUCCUUCUCCUCAUUUGAAAGGUAAAAACAUUAAAUAAACCUGCUUUUGGGGAGGAGAAGUGGUGCCUCGGAAGGUGGCACACAGGACAUGCAUCAUUUCCUCGGGGCCUUGUUACUCCCGGGACCUCAGGCCACCCCAGUGUCCUGGCAGCGGUGGCCUGAGACUCAGCGAGGUUGGGGCCACAGGGUCACAGCACAGCCCCUGUAGCAUCUGCCCUUGGGCCCGUC
Phacochoerus africanus (Common warthog) is the source of this 1401-nucleotide long non-coding RNA. RefSeq lists it as uncharacterized. NCBI's taxonomy places the organism in Eukaryota, Metazoa, Chordata, Mammalia, Artiodactyla, Suidae. The transcript has 3 exons. The record is from RefSeq and is a predicted model, not a curated record.